GACUCAAUGGCGCAACGGUUAAUGUGCUUGUAAGUUGUUAAAAUGUAUUCAUCCAAAAGCUGGUACGCAAGUGGUCAGUAAGUGGUCCCGGUUCAACCCCGCGUUGGGUCU
This is a non-coding RNA of Mycena metata, 111 nucleotides long. Lineage: Eukaryota; Fungi; Basidiomycota; Agaricomycetes; Agaricales; Mycenaceae. The record is from the annotation of a GenBank genome assembly.